AUCAUCGUGCUAAUUGCAAAAACGCAUGGGGCCACCAAUCUCCAAGAGUUCAGACCAAUCUCUUUACUGCAUAGUGUGAUCAAGAUCUUCACAAAGCUUCUCGCGUGGCAUCGGGCGCCUAAAUUGCAAGGGAUAAUUGAUCAUUGCCAAAGUGCUUUCUUAAAGAAACGAAGCAUACAGGAGAACUUUCUUUAUGUC
Molecule: ribosomal RNA, 198 nt
Filed under: Triticum aestivum (bread wheat)
Lineage: Eukaryota; Viridiplantae; Streptophyta; Magnoliopsida; Poales; Poaceae
Description: partial small subunit ribosomal RNA
Source: RNAcentral